Molecule: ribosomal RNA, 381 nt
Filed under: uncultured Actinomycetes bacterium
Lineage: Bacteria; Bacillati; Actinomycetota; Actinomycetes
Description: bacterial SSU rRNA
Rfam family: Bacterial small subunit ribosomal RNA
Source: RNAcentral
AACGCGAAGAACCUUACCUGGCCUUGACAUGCGGAACUGCAGAGAUGCGGGAGUGCCUGGGAAGGAACACAGGUGCUGCAUGGCUGGAGCGUGGUGAGAUGUUGGGUUAAGCCGCAACGAGCGCAACCCUUGCUUAGUUGCCAGCACGUAAUGGUGGGAACUAAGGAGACUGCCGGUGACAAACCGGAGGAAGGUGGGGAUGACGAAGAAUGGCCCUUACGGCCAGGGCUACACACGUACUACAAUGGGAGGUACAGAGGGUUGCGAAGCCGCGAGGUGAAGCCAACCAGAAAACCAGCGGAGGAGUUUGCAACGACCGUGAAGGGAAGCUAGUAAGCGAAAGCAUUGCCGCGGUGAAUACGUCCCGGGUUGUACACACCG